UUGAGAGUUCUACAGUCAGACUUUGAUAAAAACCAUCGGGGUAUAGAGACUGAGUUGAACCCCAGAACCUGUGGCCCGGGGGAGGGGUGGACCCGACUUGGAGGGGUCCCCUGAGAACUUAUCCCCCCGGAAA
Molecule: long non-coding RNA, 133 nt
Organism: Lepidothrix coronata (blue-crowned manakin)
Lineage: Eukaryota; Metazoa; Chordata; Aves; Passeriformes; Pipridae
Exons: 3
Source: RefSeq, a predicted model, not a curated record